RNAcentral lists this unclassified non-coding RNA (268 nucleotides) under Melitaea cinxia (Glanville fritillary). RNAcentral's name for it is "misc RNA ENSMCXG00005021138.1". Lineage: Eukaryota; Metazoa; Arthropoda; Insecta; Lepidoptera; Nymphalidae. The record is from RNAcentral.
AUUUAAGAUCGGAAAAGUUAGGUGUGGUUUUGACCUACCGGAUGAGUCUAAAAUUAGUCGUUAACCAAAAUUCAAUCUUUGAUACACCUAGAAAACAUAAACUAAGAGAAAAGUUAAAAAAACAGGAACUUUAUUAAAAUAAAUCAUUACAGCAAAGAGUUAGACGUCUUUAAAACAGGAACUUGCCCUUCAGAGAAAUCAUCAAUUACUUAAAAACACAAUUUUCAUUGACACAGAUUUAUAUAAUUCAUUAAAUCAAAACAUGGCU